RNAcentral lists this non-coding RNA (115 nucleotides) under Aeromicrobium sp. Its description in RNAcentral is "SAM-IV sequence". It matches the Rfam family "SAM (S-adenosyl methionine) riboswitch aptamer". Rfam says of the family: SAM-IV is a mRNA element that regulates gene expression via direct sensing of S-adenosylmethionine (SAM or AdoMet). SAM-IV riboswitches share conserved nucleotide positions with the previously described SAM-I riboswitches sequence analysis and molecular recognition experiments suggest that SAM-I and SAM-IV riboswitches share similar ligand binding sites, but have different scaffolds. The record is from RNAcentral. Lineage: Bacteria; Bacillati; Actinomycetota; Actinomycetes; Propionibacteriales; Nocardioidaceae.
GGUCAAGAGAGCCACCCACGCCUUCGGACAGUGGUGGCCGGCAACCGCGUCGCCCGACACGGUGCCUUCCGAAGAAGACCUGGGCUGCACCGUCCGGUGCGGCCAAGCGGGCACU